GACGAACGCUGGCGGCGUGCUUAACACAUGCAAGUCGAACGAAGUGGCGAACGGGUGAGUAACGCGUAAUCAACCUGCCCCUCAGAGGGGGACAACAGUUGGAAACGACUGCUAAUACCGCAUACUGAAGGAGGGGAUUGCGUAUGAUUAGCGAGUAGGAGGGGUAACGGCCAACCAAGGCGAUGAUCAGUAGCCGGUCUGAGAGGAUGAACGGCGACAUUGGGACUGAGACACGGGCCAGACUCCAACGGAAGGCAGCAGUGGGGAAUCUUGCGCAAUGGACGAAAGUCUGACGGAGCAACGCCGCGUGAUUGAUGACGGCCUUCGGGUUGUAAAGAUCUGUUAAUCGGGACGCGGUACCGGAAUAGAAAGCCACGGCUAACUACGUGCCAGCAGCCGCGGUAAUUC
RNAcentral lists this ribosomal RNA (408 nucleotides) under uncultured bacterium. Its description in RNAcentral is "partial 16S ribosomal RNA". It matches the Rfam family "Bacterial small subunit ribosomal RNA", at positions 28 to 526 of the family's 1533-position model. The record is from RNAcentral.